CGGCUCUAUUCGGUGGGCCUGGUCACCGACGGGAACUACUCAACUAACCUUUCGCUGUUAUCUUACGCGUUCCGAAAAGUCGCCAUUUUUAACCGUCAACGAUCUGCACAAUCUUCUUUUCAAGCCUCAUCCUCCUUUCUCCAUUUUCAAAAUUUGAUUCAGGUAAACCUUCUCUUUCUGUAGAUUGCUGUGGUUCUAUCUCGAAUGAAAAUUGAUCAUGAAAUGCCCAAGUAAAGAUUAAAACUUUGUACCAAUUAGUGUUGUUUUCAGCUAUAGAUUGAUUCUUCCUUGUAAACUUUGAAGAGCAAUGCCAUUGUUUCAAUUCCUGCUUGUAGUAGUUUUGGUCUGGAAUUCCCUGGAAAAUGGGAGUGCUGGGAUCACCAGUACUUUUAUUCGCUCCGAAUGGCCAUCUACUGAUAUCCCACUUGACAAUCAAGUAUUUGAAAUUCCGAAAGGUCAUAUUGCCCCACAGCAAGUGCAUAUCACUCAAGGGGACUAUGAUGGUAAGGCUGUGAUUAUCUCUUGGGUUACGGCUGAUGAAACGGGUCUUAGUAUUGUGAAAUAUGGUAUAUUGGUGAACAAAUAUGAGUUUAGUGCUCAGGGAACUGUAACCAAUUACACCUUUUCCAACUAUAAGUCUGGCUAUAUUCAUCACUGCCUUGUUGAUAGCCUUGAGUAUGACACCAAGUACUAUUACAAGAUUGGAGAGGGUGAUUCUUCUCGCGAAUUUUGGUUCCGAACACCUCCAAAGAUAGAUCCAGAUGCUCCCUACACUUUUGGUAUUAUUGGUGAUUUGGGUCAAACAUAUAAUUCUCUUUCCACUCUCGAGCAUUACGUGCAGAGUGGUGGACAGACUGUCUUAUUUGUUGGUGAUCUCUCAUAUGCUGAUAGAUAUCAAUACAAUGAAGUUGGUAUUAGAUGGGACUCAUGGGGCCGUUUUGUUGAGCGUAGUGCUGCAUAUCAACCAUGGAUUUGGUCUGCUGGGAAUCAUGAGAUAGAGUACAUGCCAGAAAUGGGGGAGGUCCUUCCAUUUAAAUCAUAUCUGCAUAGAUUUGCUACUCCUCAUGCUGCUUCAAAAAGUAGCAAUCCUCUUUGGUAUGCUGUACGGCGAGCAUCUGCUCACAUCAUUGUCCUCUCCAGCUAUUCUUCUUAUGGUAAUAUACUGUUUGCUAUUGCUAGCCUGUUUUGGUUGCAAGUACCUUCUCUGCUCCUAAUCAUUAUUGACAUUCAUCCACAUAAAAUUGCAGAGUUUCUAUUUUGGUUCACUUUGCUGUCGAUUAUUUUUAAUUAUAAGUCAUCUUUCUUUGUGGAUAUCAAGAAUUUGCUAAAAUUUUUGAACCAGUAAAAUAUACUCCUCAAUGGAGAUGGCUUAGAGAAGAGUUGAAAAGGGUAGACAGGGAGAAGACACCUUGGCUUAUUGUUCUCAUGCAUGUGCCUAUCUACAAUAGUAACUUAGCCCACUAUAUGGAAGGUGAAAGUAUGCGUUCUGUGUUUGAGAGCUGGUUUGUCUGCUUCAAAGUUGACCUCGUUUUUGCAGGCCAUGUCCAUGCCUAUGAAAGAUCAGUAAGUAUAUUCUCUCGUCAUUUUCACAGUUUUGGAGGAAAAAAAAAAUGACAGCUAUCACAGCAAAUGAAGGAAGAGUACAAAUUGUAUUCUCGCAAUACCACAUGUCAUCUUAAAACAUCAACGGAGCACUUUCAUUGAGGGAAAAAUUUCAUUGCAUGUUAUAGGAUGAGCAAGUUCUUUUAAGUAUAUAUUUGGAGAUUGCAAACCAGCACCCAGUUCUCUUACAUUCAUCAUUUUCUCUGACAUGACUUCUGGGUUAAAGAAAGCAUUAUACUUCCAACAAAUUCAUCAUAUUCCAACAAUUGCACUCCAAGAAUUAAUCAACAUAGAAAUGGUAGCAAAAACAUCACAUUUGGCUGCUCUCUUUUAUUUUGUGUAGCCAAGAUGCUCCCAAAGUGCCUCAAACUGAGGAAAUUCAUGGAGCUGCAAACCCUCAUAUCUCUAGUAACAUGGCUUUGAAAAACUUGCCAAUUUUCUUAGCACACAACACACAUAAUCUGUCAUCAUGCUAUUCUGAAAUUUGUUGGCAAGUUUUUGUUUUAUCUCAUAAAAGAGUGAAUGCUAUUUGCAGUAUCGUAUCUCAAACAUACACUAUAAUGUGUCAAGCGGUGACCGAUAUCCUAUACCUGACAAAUCAGCGCCAGUGUACAUAACUGUUGGAGAUGGUGGA
RNAcentral lists this unclassified non-coding RNA (2236 nucleotides) under Hevea brasiliensis (rubber tree). Lineage: Eukaryota; Viridiplantae; Streptophyta; Magnoliopsida; Malpighiales; Euphorbiaceae. The record is from RNAcentral.